CACACUGUUUCUCUCUGUUUUAUUGCAACAACAUAAUAUUUGGAUUUCCAAAGUUACCCUUGGUUUAUCCACAGACACACUCAACCACUGUUUCGUUGUCCUUAUUCUCCCUCUUCCAUAAAAAGACCUCUACUCCCACACAACACAGUACGGAACAGAGAAAGAGAAAUGUCGAAGGAAGUGAGCGAAGAAGAUCACUUGUGAAUUCACGCAGUUUGACAUAGCCUAGAACUCGAUAGUUUUCCAUAGUAUUAAUCUCGAUAGUUUUACAUUAGUUUCACUUUCCAAAACAAUUACUCUGUCGCAUGGAAUCUGAUAUUAUAAUAUUUUAAACAAAGUACGACAUUAAUGAGAUUGCAUUGGAUAGAAGAGACAUUCUUUUUUAUUUUUGGUACAAGGGAUAGAAGCGACAUCCUAUUAAUUAAAUAGAAAUUUGUAUUAAUAGCCAGGUAAUUAUUGCUUUUUCAAAAAGAGUUGUCGUACGUGAGUGGCACGUAUGCCACUUGUCCAAACUCCAAACUCCAAACCAGAGGAAUCACUUUCGUUGAUCAUGAGAAGACACUAACCAGAAAAGCAACUACUCCACUCUCACGACCACAACCACAUGAGCUACACCACUCUUCCCCGUAUAAAAAUACUCCUCUUCCUCUCUCAUACCCUUUUCUCUCUGUUCACCGAACCCAGAAAGAGAGUCUACUCACCGAAUCUAGAGAGACUCUUCUUUUUCUUUCUCCUCCAUCCAUUUUCACGGUAUUUUCAUUUCUCUCUCUCAUUCUACUUCAUUACACCGAUUAGUUAGGGUUUUUUCUUCUUGCUUAUUUACUUCUUAAUUAUAAGCCGAUUUUUUAUUUCAUUUUUUGCAAUCUUUACUAUUUUAUACUCAUAUUUGUCUAACUUUGCUCUUUUAUCUAUUUCAUCACAAUCACCUAUGUAAUUAAUUAUUGCGAUUUUAUUAUUACUUGAUCUAUCUAUGUAACUCAGAUGUAGUAGAUCGUGGAUAACUAAUGAGUGAUCUGUGAUCUGGUUUAUGCUUAUGAUGCAUCAUUCUAUCUGAAUCUAGUCUUCUACACUCUGGAUCUGAGAUCUUUUUUAACUAUUGUGUGUUUGUACCGGUCAUAGAUUCCAUUCGCUGGCGUUAGUUUCAAAAUAAUUCCGGUUUUGUUGAUUUAUUGACUGGACUUACUGUCUGAUGUGUUGUUUUAAGUGAGAAUCUCGCUGUUUUUUCUUUAUAGAACUUCAUUUGGUGUUUGGAAAUUUGAGAUUUGAGAUACUCUGACUCAUAGUAAAUUGAAGAUUUUAGUGCAUAUCUUAAUGUAAAGCUUAAGAUUACAGGUUGAACAUGCGUUCAUUGUUUGUUUAUUCUAUGACAUUGUGGAUAUGUUCUAUUUUACGAUUGCUCUACUUUCUUUCUUUGAAGACUUAAAAUUGUCUAACCUUUUUCUUUUUGUUGAACACAAACGAUACUGACCCUAUGUUUACGUUUCUUUUGCCGUUAUUUCAAACCUGCAUUUAUUUUAUGUACCUUUCUGAUUUGCAAACUCUCUAAUACACAGGAUGAGAAAGAAGGUUAACCUGCUCUCGUUUCUAACCUGCGUUUUUAAGUACCUUUUAUGUUAAUUUGACAUUUGACUAAUUAUUAACUUGUUUUUAUUGAUAGGUGCUUAAUUGUGUUUUUUUCACAGAUUUCUAAGAUCCGGAAAUUUAACACAGGUUAAUUCUUCCGNNNNNNNNNNNNNCUUCCGAUCUAUCUUUACAAUAAACAAAAAAAAUACUUAAUUCAAUAUGAAUUUAUUAAAUGGGGUCUACCGUGCCACGUCAUCUUGAAAUAACCCAUUCAUUUUUUACUCAUAAAGUGAACUCACAUGUUCAUUAGAUAGGGUCUACGCUAAAGAAUCAUUUAUUUAUUAUUAUUCAUAAAUUAAUCAUAAAAAGAUAACCGUCCUUCAUGAGAGAACCGUGAUGACAGCUUUGCACGUCUCCAACAGUGAACUCGCCAAAAACUAAAGGUUACAUAAUUAUGGUGCACGAACUUUGGCUACCUUUGGAGAUGCUCUAAUAGCUAAACAUUCCACCUCUUUUUUUAUUCUGUUUUUCUUUAUUAUUUCUUAUAUAAAUUUUCUUUUUCUUUUUAUUUCAGAAUUAGAAAUGUCUAAUAAUAGAUAUAACUUGAAGAUUAUUACCGACCAGCAGACCCACAGAAUUAGAAAUCCGCCAAAUAGAUUUUCACCUCCACAUUUCCACCCAAGAAGAACAAUUCUCCACCUUCAUAAGAAGAACAAUUCUCCACCUUCAUAUUCCACCUCCAUAUAUCUAACCAAGAAGAAGAAGAAGAAUAAGAAGAAGAAUAGUUACUUCUCUACCUCACUGUCUUCACCGUCUUCAUCGUCUUCACCGUCUUCAUCGUCUUUCUUCACCUCAAGAUACUUCUCCACCUCAAGAUACUUCCCCACCUUAGGGACAGGUAAAUAAUGUAGGAUGUUUAUGUAUGUUGGAUACUAUAACUUGUUUUUAACUUGUUUUUUUGUUGUGCAGGAUUAUAAUAAGUUUGACCUAGAAGCUUAGUACAGUUGAACCUCAAUGUCUAAGCGAUCUGUGGCAUUAACUACGUAUUCCCUUCUUCAAAUUGUCACUUAAAAUAAAAAUAAGGGACCAACUCGAAAAUAAAAAUAAAAGUUUAAAACGUUAUCUGAAAUUAAGUUAAGGGACGAUUAAUGUAAUUUAGUCUUUUUAUUACCAUCAAUCCAGUUCAAUUAAAUAUAUUUGUUUUUAUUUUUUUUAUAUAUUUUAGAAAAUAGUAAAAAUUUCUGAAAGGAAUUAGAGUCAAAUAGAAACCAAAUACAUCCAUGAUUUUUCUAAAAUUUAAAAGUUUAACUAUUUAUUUUUAUCAUUAUUAUUAUUUUAAUUUUUUUAAUAAAUUUAUUAAAAAUCAUAAAGUAACAGACAAAAUUAAGUGUCAACAAUCAGGAUGAUAUGGACGCUUGUGUUAACCUGCUUUUACCGUAUGUUUUUUUUUUUCUAUCCUAGUAUUUUUUUAAAUUUUAUUGCUCUUUUUUCCCAAGGUAAUUACCAAUUAAAAUUUAAUAACUGUAUAUAAGUGUUGCAAUUAAAGGUUAAUAACCAUAUAUACAAUUAUUUAUUGGAAAGAGAAGUGAGAUGUGGGAAAAGAAGAGGAAUAAUAUUUUGGGUGUAUAUUGUACCAUUAGAUUUGGUGGAAUUUUUUAUUUCAUGGUGAAAAAUAUUCUUACCCGGUGCAAGACGUAUACAUAGUAAUAAUAUAUUUGACACUUAAUCUUUUUAUUUUAUAUAAAAUUAAUUUUAAUCCUUUUAUUUUUUUAUUAUUAAAAUUGAGUUUUUAAUUCCAUUAUUUUGUGACUUUUAGGAUUUUGUUGCUCCCCUCCUGAACAUGGAUUGAUUG
Molecule: long non-coding RNA, 3415 nt
Filed under: Cicer arietinum (chickpea)
Lineage: Eukaryota; Viridiplantae; Streptophyta; Magnoliopsida; Fabales; Fabaceae
Description: long non-coding RNA (CARI_LNC001695)
Source: RNAcentral